Molecule: ribosomal RNA, 645 nt
Filed under: uncultured actinomycete
Lineage: Bacteria; Bacillati; Actinomycetota; Actinomycetes; Actinomycetales
Description: bacterial SSU rRNA
Rfam family: Bacterial small subunit ribosomal RNA
Source: RNAcentral
CGCGGGCCUAUCAGCUUGUUGGGUGGGGUAACGGCCUACCAAGGCGACGACGGGUAGCUGGUCUGAGAGGACGGCCAGCCACACUGGGACUGAGACACGGCCCAGACUCCUACGGGAGGCAGCAGUGGGGGAUCUUGCGCAAUGGGCGAAAGCCUGACGCAGCGACGCCGCGUGGGGGAUGAAGGCCCUCGGGUCGUAAACCCCUUUCGGCAGGGACGAAGCGAAAGUGACGGUACCUGCAGAAGAAGCUCCGGCUAACUACGUGCCAGCAGCCGCGGUAAGACGUAGGGAGCGAGCGUUGUCCGGAUUCAUUGGGCGUAAAGCGCGCGUAGGCGGCCACGCAAGUCGGUUGUGAAGUCCCGGGGCUCAACCCCGGGACUGCGUCCGAUACUGCGUGGCUCGAGGCAGGUAGGGGAGAUCGGAAUUCCUGGUGUAGCGGUGAAAUGCGCAGAUAUCAGGAGGAACACCGGUGGCGAAGGCGGAUCUCUGGGCCUGUCCUGACGCUGAGGCGCGAAAGCUAGGGGAGCGAACAGGAUUAGAUACCCUGGUAGUCCUAGCCGUAAACGUUGGGCGCUAGGUGUGGGCGGAGAUCGACCCCGUCCGUGCCGAAGCUAACGCAUUAAGCGCCCCGCCUGGGGAGUACGG